GACACGGCUGGCGGCGUGGAUUAGGCAUGCAAGGUCGAACGGUAGGAUCCUUUCGGGGAUCUGAGAGUGGCGAACGGGUGAGUAACACGUAGGUGAUCUACCCUCAAGACGGGGACAACCCAGGGAAACUUGGGCUAAUACCGGAUGAUAGCAGCAGCGAUGCUGUUUAAAAGAUGGCUUUCGGGCUGUCGUUUGGGGAUGAGCCUGCGCUCUAUUAGUUAGUUGGUGGAGUAACGGCCUACCAAGGCGAUGAUAGAUAGGCGGCCUUAACGGGUGGUCGCCCACACUGGGAUUGAGAUACGGCCCAGACUCCUACGGGAGGCAGCAGUCGAGAAUAGUCUACAAUGGACGAAAGACUGAUAGUGCGACGCCGCGUGAACGAAGAAGCCCUUCGGGGUGUAAAGUUCUUUUAUAUGUGAGCAGUGGUUCUUAUGUGAACAGCAUGGGGACAGAGAUAUUAGCAUAUGAAUAAGCAACGGCUAACUCCGUG
This 490-nucleotide ribosomal RNA is filed under the name uncultured bacterium. Its description in RNAcentral is "bacterial SSU rRNA". It matches the Rfam family "Bacterial small subunit ribosomal RNA", at positions 35 to 507 of the family's 1533-position model. The record is from RNAcentral.